This 377-nucleotide ribosomal RNA is filed under the name uncultured eukaryote. Its description in RNAcentral is "partial 18S ribosomal RNA". It matches the Rfam family "Eukaryotic small subunit ribosomal RNA", at positions 592 to 976 of the family's 1831-position model. The record is from RNAcentral.
CAAUAGCGUAUAUUUAAGUUGCUGCAGUUAAAAAGCUCGUAGUUGGAUUUCGGGUGGGAAUGGCCGGUCCGCCGUUUCGGUGUGCACUUGCUACGCCCACCUUGCUGCCGGGGACGUGCUCUUGAGUUCACGCUCGGGACACGGAGUCGGCGAGGUUACUUUGAGUAAAUUAGAGUGUUCAAAGCAGGCCUACGCUCUGAAUACAUUAGCAUAGAAUAACACGAUAGGACUCUGGCCUAUCUUGUUGGUCUGUAGGACCGGAGUAAUGAUUAAGAGGGACAGUCGGGGGCAUUCGUAUUUACAUGUCAGAGGUGAAAUUCUUGGAUUUUGGAAAGACGAACUACUGCGAAAGCAUUUACCAAGGAUGUUUUCAUUAA